Falco peregrinus (peregrine falcon) is the source of this 2327-nucleotide long non-coding RNA. RefSeq lists it as uncharacterized. The transcript has 4 exons. Lineage: Eukaryota; Metazoa; Chordata; Aves; Falconiformes; Falconidae. The record is from RefSeq and is a predicted model, not a curated record.
UGAGAUCUGGCAUGAGGGCCAGCCGGCAGAAGUGAAGGAGCCUUUCCAGAUCACCAAACCCAUCUCUGCUGAUGCAGGCUUGAAUUCUGUAGAGCUUUUCCUACGAUCUGCUUUAUUUACCUAUGCAUCCCUCUUCUGGACAGUUGCACCAUGGCUGGCUGCUGGGAGGGGUUCUGGAGGAGUAUCUAGCAUCAAGCUGAAGGUGUACAGCUCUAAUGACCACUGCUGGGGCUGCACGGAGACACCUGGAGGGACAAACCCAAAGGCUUUGCUGCUUCUCACUCACCUUUCUUCUUCUGAGAACCUGGGGGCAAGUGCACGGGCCAUAGCUGGGGUGGACAGGGGCCGUAAGAGCACCAAGCCCCGGCCAGAGUCAGGUUGGCCAGCAAACCACCUGAAGUACUUCUGGAGGAGCUCUUGUCACCAGAGGAAAAGUACCAAAUAUUGCUCAGAGCCCCUCGCUGCGGCCCCACCUACACACAUCUGCUUUUUAUGUGCAUUAAACUCUGUGCCCAGAAUACCUGCCAGCGAGAGUGGGCCUGGCUUUUAUAGGAACCAUCGUCAGCAUGUGAGAAAUGCGCAGUAAAUGUUAGCUAUAAAUCUUUCUCUGGGACACCUGGAGAGCGCCGGCACCGCUGCCAGCCCUGACUCUGUGAGGGGUUUCGUGCUGCUGCAUGUCCCCCCUCACUGCUGGCUGUCACGGUCCAGGCACAGACCCCAGCUUUACCGUCUGUAGCUUCACCUUUGCUUCUGCAGCAGCAGCUGCUGGUGAUUAAAGCUGGGGAGGGGGCUGGCAGCUCCCAGACCACUUUUUCCCACUGGUCCUCAGCUUGGCUCCUCUUCCUCUCGGUCCUGUGCCUUUACAGCUGUCCCUCCCCGUGAGAGCAUCAGGCUCUGACUGCCCAAAGGAGGUUUCUCCUCUUGCCUCUGCUUGACUUCACAGAAUCACAGAGUGGUGGGGGUUGGAAGGGACCUCUGGAGAUCACCUAGUUCAAUCUCCUGCUAAAGCAGGUUCUCCUAGAGCAGGUUGCACAGAGUCACAUUCAGGCGGGUUGUGAAUGUCUCCAGAGGAGGCUCCACAGCCUCUCUGGGCAGCCUGUGCCAGUGCUCUGUCACCCCCAAGAUAAAGAAGUUCUUCCCUCGUACUCAGAUGGAGCUCCCUGUGCUGCAGUUUGUGCCCGUUGCCCCUUGUCCUGUCACUGGGCACCACUGAAAAGAGUCCCAUCCUCCUGACACUUGCCCUUAAGGUGUUUGUAGACGAUGAGAUCCCCUCUCAGUCUUCUCCAGGUUGAACAGGCCCAGCUCUCUCAGCCUUUCCUCAUUAGGGAGAUGCUCCCUCCCCUCAUCAUCUUGGCAGCCCUCUGCUGGACCCCCUCCAGCAGUUCCCUGUCUCUCUUGAACUGGGGACCCCAGAACCGGACCCAGUAUAGCAGAGCGGAAGGAUCACCUCCCUCGACCUACUGGCCACGCUCCCUCUGAUGCCCCCCAGGAUCCCACUGGCCUUCCUGGCCUUGAGGGCACACUGCUGGCCCACAGGCAACUUGCUGCCUGCUGGGACCCCCAGGUCCUUCUCUGCAGAGCUGCCUCCCAGGGACUUCAUGUUCCUUCUGCUUUGCUCCGUGCGCCUCGCAGUGCUGCUGGCAUCAAGGUACCUGGGAAGUUCUUCCCAGGGGAACAAAGGAGACACCAAGUCCCUUGGGAAGAUGAUGUGCUAGGCAAGCUGGCAGAGGGAUGGGGGUGUUUGCCAGCUGCUGGGCAUUGCUGCUGGAGAAGCUCAUCAGCAGCUGGGGCAGGAGCUUGUCCAGCACCAAAGCGGCUCCCUGCAGCGCCCAGCUCCUGUGCACCGAAGGGACGUGUGGGGUCACCUUUGGCACUUCAGGUUACGCUGCUGUAAAAUGGCAGCAAAGUCCAAGGUGAAAUCAGGAGUGUCUAGAAAAUGUUUGAAGUCCCCUUGGUGGAAAGUAUCAAACAUAUCCACACCCCCCUCACACCGGCGUUUCCGAGGGACCGCUCCGAUGCCAAGGCACGGGGCACUGCGAACAGCAGUGAAGCCAGCCAAGGCAAGGGCACAGGCAGAACUUGCCAGAGAAAAAGAGGAUGGGAGGCGUGUUGCCCAGCUCAAAACCCCCCAGAUUGCUCCCUUUUGAUAACACAAGCUAUUUUCUUUCAAUAAAGUAAAGACGGUUCACUCAAGGAAGGGUGAAGCAUAAUAAAAGUUGCAAACCAGCUAUGUUAUAUAUUACUGUAUCUAUAUGUUAAUGCUGCAUUAAGCUAUGUGUAUGUUAAUACCUAGCCAAUAAAUAUUACACUUCAUAUUUCACUGCAAC